RNAcentral lists this ribosomal RNA (492 nucleotides) under uncultured bacterium. RNAcentral describes it as "partial 16S ribosomal RNA". It matches the Rfam family "Bacterial small subunit ribosomal RNA", at positions 29 to 507 of the family's 1533-position model. The record is from RNAcentral.
AGUGAACGCUGGCGGUAGGCCUAACACAUGCAAGUCGAACGGCAGCACAGUAAGAGCUUGCUCUUACGGGUGGCGAGUGGCGGACGGGUGAGGAAUACAUCGAAAUCUACUUUUUCGUGGGGGAUAACGUAGGGAAACUUACGCUAAUACCGCAUACGACCUACGGGUGAAAGCAGGGGAUCUUCGGACCUUGCGCGAUUGAAUGAGCCGAUGUCGGAUUAGCUAGUUGGCGGGGUAAAGGCCCACCAAGGCGACGAUCCGUAGCUGGUCUGAGAGGAUGAUCAGCCACACUGGAACUGAGACACGGUCCAGACUCCUACGGGAGGCAGCAGUGGGGAAUAUUGGACAAAGGGCGCAAGCCUGAUCCAGCCAUACCGCGUGGGUGAAAAAGGCCUUCGGGUUGUAAAGCCCUUUUGUUGGGAAAGAAAGGCAGCAGGUUAAUACCCCGCUGUUCUGACGGUACCCAAAGAAUAAGCACCGGCUAACUUCGUG